RNAcentral lists this ribosomal RNA (436 nucleotides) under uncultured microorganism. RNAcentral's name for it is "bacterial SSU rRNA". It matches the Rfam family "Bacterial small subunit ribosomal RNA", at positions 9 to 451 of the family's 1533-position model. The record is from RNAcentral.
GAGUUUGAUCCUGGCUCGGAUUGAACGCUGGCGGCAUGCCUUACACAUGCAAGUCGAACGGUAACAGGUCUUCGGAUGCUGACGAGUGGCGAACGGGUGAGUAAUACAUCGGAACGUGCCCGAUCGUGGGGGAUAACGAAGCGAAAGCUUUGCUAAUACCGCAUAAGAUCUACGGAUGAAAGCAGGGGACCGCAAGGCCUUGCGCGAACGGAGCGGCCGAUGGCAGAUUAGGUAGUUGGUGGGAUAAAAGCUUACCAAGCCGACGAUCUGUAGCUGGUCUGAGAGGACGACCAGCCACACUGGGACUGAGACACGGCCCAGACUCCUACGGGAGGCAGCAGUGGGGAAUUUUGGACAAUGGGCGAAAGCCUGAUCCAGCCAUGCCGCGUGCAGGAUGAAGGCCUCGGUUGUAACUAGCUUUGUACGGUAACGAAAG